AACGAACGCUGGCGGCAGGCCUAACACAUGCAAGUCGAGCGCACCCUCCGGGGUCAGCGGCGGACGGGGUUGUAACGCGUGGGAACGUUCCCUUGUCUACGGCAUACCUUCAGGAAACUGAGAGUAAUGCCGCAUACGCGCUUUGGGGGGAAGAUUUAUCGAACAAGGAUCGGCCCGCGUUGGAUUAGGUAGUUGGUUGGGUAAUGGCCCAUCACGCCGACGAUGCAUAGCUGGUUUGAGAGGAGGAUCAGCCACACUGGGACUGAGACACGGCCGAGAAUCCUACGGGAGGCAGGAGUGCGGAAUCUUAGAAAAUGGCGGCAACCAUGAAGGAGCCCUGACGCGUGAGCGAUGAAGGCCUUAGGGUUGUAAAGCUCUUUCAGCUGGGAAGAUAAUGACGGUACCAGCAGAAGAAGCCCCGGCUAACUACGUG
RNAcentral lists this ribosomal RNA (433 nucleotides) under uncultured bacterium. RNAcentral's name for it is "partial 16S ribosomal RNA". It matches the Rfam family "Bacterial small subunit ribosomal RNA", at positions 29 to 507 of the family's 1533-position model. The record is from RNAcentral.